Molecule: ribosomal RNA, 253 nt
Filed under: uncultured bacterium
Lineage: Bacteria
Description: partial 16S ribosomal RNA
Rfam family: Bacterial small subunit ribosomal RNA
Source: RNAcentral
UACGUAGGGGGCUAGCGUUGUCCGGAAUCAUUGGGCGUAAAGAGCGUGUAGGCGGUCCGGUAAGUCCGCUGUGAAAGUCGGGGGCUCAACCCUCGAAUGCCGGUGGAUACUGUCGGGCUAGAGUGCGGAAGAGGCGAGUGGAAUUCCUGGUGUAGCGGUGAAAUGCGCAGAUAUCAGGAGGAACACCUGCGGUGUAGACGGCUUACUGGACCAUAACUGACGCUGAGGCACGAAAGCGUGGGUAGCAAACAGG